GCAUUGGUGGUUCAGUGGUAGAAUUCUCGCCUCCCACGUGGGAGACCCUGGUCUGAUUCCCGGCCAAUGCA
This is a non-coding RNA of Danio rerio (zebrafish), 71 nucleotides long. NCBI's taxonomy places the organism in Eukaryota, Metazoa, Chordata, Actinopteri, Cypriniformes, Danionidae. The record is from Rfam.